Molecule: ribosomal RNA, 384 nt
Filed under: Madatyphlops decorsei (Mocquard's worm snake)
Lineage: Eukaryota; Metazoa; Chordata; Lepidosauria; Squamata; Typhlopidae
Description: partial 12S ribosomal RNA
Rfam family: Bacterial small subunit ribosomal RNA
Source: RNAcentral
GCUUGGCAGUAAAAGGCUGAAAAUUACCAUCCGCCCGCCAGACGAGUACAAGUAAAAACUUUAAACUCAAAGGACUUGACGGUACUCCACACACAACCUAGAGGAGCCUGUCCUAUAAUCGAUGAUCCACGAUAGACCUCGCCGCCUCUCGCCAAACAACCUAUAUACCGCCGUCGCAAGCUCACCUUUUGAAAGGAGCGAAGUGAGCUCAACAAUUCAACGUUUUAACGUCAGGUCAAGGUGUAGUUUAUGGGGCGGGCAGAGAUGGGCUACAUUUCCUUUUUAAAGGACACACGAACGGCCUAAUGAAAACGGGCCCGAAGGAGGAUUUAGUAGUAAAAUCGGAUAAGCAAACCCAUUUGAACACACUGCCCUGGAGUGCGC